CGAUCACCCUGCGAUCAUGACUCUAGCCAAGGGCAGAUGCUUAAUGACUGAGCCACCCAGGUGUCCCUAAAACAUAUUUUCCAUAGUAAGCAAACAGACAACUAUAUUUAUUUAUCUUCAUUUUUUUAAGUAGGCUCCACGUCCAAUGUGGGGAUCAAACUCAUGACCCUGAGAUCUAGAGAAGCGUGUUCUACUGCUCUAGCCAGGAGCCCCAAGCAGGAAGACAGAAAAUAAUGACCAUUUCCAGAAAGAAGAUAAUUUACUAAGAGCAGACUAAACAUUCCAAAGAGAUGACACAUUUGACCCGUUUGGACCACGUCCAGCAGAGGGAGAGCAGCCCAGUAGACCACAGUUAAGAAUUUGAGCGUUUCACGUUUGUGAUUCCAUUUCCUGGAAGGGUUUCAUUAACUCUGUGUUUUGGAGGCAGAGGAAAGAGGAGACCGAGUUUGAAUUUAAGCCAUUUCGUGUACCAGGGAAAUGGUCUCAGGUGAGUCUCUGGGCUUUCGCUUCUGGAUCAGGUAACCGUGGGAGUAACUGCAGCCUGGCAGGACUGUGCAAAGAAAGGUUCAAGGAAUUCCUAUCUCGUGCGGUUCUGGACACAUGAUGGACGAACAGUUCAGGGCACUGCCCCAGUGAAAGCGUGAGGAUUUGCCAGGCGGUUUGCAAUGAAUGAAUAUUGCCCAGAAGUGAUAAACUCUCAGAAACCAGAGAGAUCUGGUUAUUUAGUCGACUUUAGUUUUUAACUUUUUCUGAGCCCAACACUUAUGUUCAUGGGAAAUUUGAGACAACCCGCCCCUUUAGUAUUGCAAACGCCCUGCCCCAGGCUUCAGGGCCUCAGGCAAAUAAAUAGUAACUACAUCCCUGAGGAUGACUGCUUUCUGGGGGCCCCAGUGCUUCCAGUAGCUUCAUGGCACGCUCUUCCUGGACCAAGGGGAGAGGGUUACAGCCAUACACUGACUCCCGUGCAGACUCUGACGCAAGCGAGCACGCUCCCCCUACAAUCCUAAGAGAUGACCUUGGGCUCACUUGCUGAGAAAAGCUGUUUUUGUGUUUCCUAUGAUGAUAUAUCGCAUGCAAACUGAUUAAAAAAAACAACAAUCUUAAAAGUUCAAGACAAGGUCACAAGAAAUGUCAGCCAGGCAGUCAGCAAAUCCUUUUUCAUGGAAUAAGUUGUUUACACUUUACUUCCAAGAGGACAUUGUGCAACAUCUGUGUAUCUACGUGAACAGUGAAUAGCUCGGCACCUGUCCAGUCUCAACCCUGGAUUUGGGAAAGAUGGGAAAGAUGAGGGCAUGGCUACCACCAAAAACGGGAGGAAGGGCCCAGUCCCUGGUGGUCUUGCCAACUGGCUCAGAAGUCAAACCAUCAGGGGACUGGCCUCCCUGUGCUUCGUUCCCAGAGGGAGCAGCAGAAACAAACAUUCUCAAAGACUCCUGUCCAUUUCAGAACUUAAUAUUCCUGUAUUUCUGAUUGUUGCCUCCCAUACAUUCCCUAGCUUGAGAGCUUAUGUUUAAGGGUAUUGUUUUACACACCCACCACCC
This is a long non-coding RNA of Mustela erminea (ermine), 1541 nucleotides long. RefSeq lists it as uncharacterized. The record is from RefSeq and is a predicted model, not a curated record. The transcript has 2 exons. NCBI's taxonomy places the organism in Eukaryota, Metazoa, Chordata, Mammalia, Carnivora, Mustelidae.